UCCUUCUCCCCGCCCUCCUUCGCUCGGCUGGGAUUUUGCUUUGUUUCUGUGUGGGAAAAUGCUAAACGGCCCUAUGGAGGGACUGACAGAAUGAUGUCAACAACUUCAUAUGUCAAAGAAAUUAGAGAAGCUUCAGAGACUGUUUAUCAACCUUUAAACCCCCACAUGCCAUUUUUUAAAGAACCUCCACUGGCAAUGAGAUUCAUUAAGUCAAAGAACAUUAGAGCUAGAAGAAACUUGGAAAUUAGACCUCCUCCUUUGUUAGACAGUUGGAACAGGAAGCCCAGAAAGGACAGGGGACUCUUCCGCGGUCACAGUGCCUGUCAAGCGCAGUCGGGCUGAUUUCCAGUUUCGACUCAGAGGGAAGCAUCUUAGCGAAAGGGCACCAUGUAUGAAGCUCACAUUCUGCUCUUUAUUACAUGAUCAUUGCGAGACAAGGAGUGAAAACUCAAUGAUUUGAAAUGCCUGGAAUCCUGCCACUUCUAGGCUGGCCCCGAGUGUCCGCAGUGACUGCAGAACCACGGCCAGAGGCACAGGCAGAGCCACCCAUGACUCUCCACCAGCUGCCACAGCUGCGUAGUCUCUGGAGAGUCCCUUACUCCUUGCAACCGUGCUUCUCUCA
Long non-coding RNA from Manis pentadactyla (Chinese pangolin), 622 nucleotides. RefSeq lists it as uncharacterized. The transcript is spliced from 3 exons. The record is from RefSeq and is a predicted model, not a curated record. NCBI's taxonomy places the organism in Eukaryota, Metazoa, Chordata, Mammalia, Pholidota, Manidae.